This is a long non-coding RNA of Bombyx mori (domestic silkworm), 3752 nucleotides long. RefSeq lists it as uncharacterized. NCBI's taxonomy places the organism in Eukaryota, Metazoa, Arthropoda, Insecta, Lepidoptera, Bombycidae. The record is from RefSeq and is a predicted model, not a curated record. The transcript is spliced from 3 exons.
UUUUUGGAGUUUACUCCUUUAGAAUCGAUUUACAUAUAUAGGCCCGGGGUAUGAAAAUUAUGGGGACCAAAAUCGUACUAGCAUGUCACACGAAAUGCGUUAUGCGCCUGAUUGCGCAUGUCACACGAAAUGUGUUAUCGCAGGUGAUGCCGGGCUGCUGCGCCGGCAGUCCGCCACAAAGCCUCGUACUGAUCGCGCGUUUCUCUCAUUAUUGUAUUUUCAUAUAUUUGUUAGUCGUUUGUUUUGUGUCUCGUUAAUUUGUUAAUAAUCUGUAGUGUAUCGUGUUGUCGUAAUAUAGAACUAUUUCUCGUAUUGUUUCGUUUAAUUUUUUAUAUCCAGUAAACUCCAGUCGUGCGUCGGAGCGGACACACACACUUUUUUAUUUCUGAACCAUAUAAAUGUAUAAAUAUUGUGAAAAUACAAUAGGUGUUUUUAUUCAAACUAACAGGUGGCUUCCCAAUAACUGCACUAUUAAGCUUUGUCUGCUUUUAUACAGUCGAUACUUAAAAAAAAGAGGUGGAUGAAGCCGAAGACCAGACUCAGUGGUGUGGAUUGGGAGAUGCCUAUGCGAUGCCAGUGGACGACUAUGGGCGGAUGAUGAUGAUGAUGAUACAAUAUUGGAGGUAGACCGCAGGUUCAAGGAUGUUUUAGGGCCCCAACCACCAAACGACUCCCCUCGCGCUCUCUCACCCGGCGAUCGAUGUUCGCCCGGAGUCAGAACCCAGGAGAAGUAACGGGGUUCCCGUGGUCAACACUACAACUAGACUUCCUUACUGAACCUGCCAUUGCAGCAACCAUAGGCACCUCGUGGGUGCGAAAUCAUGAAUUCCAUUUUAAAUUUUUUUUUUUUAAUAAUUAGUUGUAUAUUUGUAUGAUGAUAAUGACAGCCGUUUAGUUUAUUUAGUUAUUAACCUUUUUCUUCUUCUUUUUCUCCACCUUAUCCCACUAGGUGGGGUCCGCACGGCUAAUUUUUCUCUUCCAUUCUCUUCUAUCAGCCGUCAUCUCAACACUCACUCCUCUCUCUCUCAUAUCGUCAUUCACACACCCAAUCCAUGUUUUCUUCGGUCGACCUCUUCCCCCUCUACCUUGCACUACCAUUUCAAUACAUCUCCUAUUCACAUGCAUCUUCUCUCUACGCAUCAAUAAGUUACUAACCUUUUUAUAGUGCAUUUAAUCAAUACACAUACAAUUCCAUUUAGAUUACUAAACCACAAUUUCAGGCUAAAACUGUGAAGCGUAUACAUUUAUUUAAAUCGGAAAUACAGGAUUUCCGUCCCCAGUGGUGGUUGGUCUAGUGGUUUCAUCGAUCGUGUCCGCUGCGUUCCUUUCAUUAAAAACUUCCGGUCGACUGUUUUCAGGCAGCAUUAGUUGCGUUGCAUGCAUAAUUUUUCAACUUACUUAUAUUUUCAUUUGGAUGCAUAAGUUGUGCGCUCAGUGUGCAUUCUUUAACUACUCGGUCGACUGUUGCAUCUUUGCCAUAAGAAUUUCUGAUCUAAAUUAAUAAUUCUUAUUCUUUUCUUUAACUCCGCCAUUGCCGGUCCCAAGCCCGGAUGAGAAAAGAUGAGGGUUGGCGUCGGUAUGCCACCUACCCGGCCGUAAAAAUUUAUCGCCGAGCAACGGGCGGCGGUCAACUAACCCGAACUAGGGCUUCAGUAGCCCAGAGGAACUAAAUCGCCUCUGAAAUUCUGCUGUGGAAGGAGGCGGGAACCCACCACUAGCAAUUUUCCCAAGAAAACCUUUACGUAUGUACUCCGUAAAGGUCACGUUCCACAGCACUGAGGAACAGGACCCACUGAGGAGGAUUCUUUUCUAAGCCGAAUGUUCUACGUAAUAAUAAGAGUCAAUGUGACUAUAUACAUUUGGUAUUAUCUUCAAAAAUUUUACACAUCCUCGUGUUGUUUGACACUUUUCCACUUUCACUUGUCUUUUCGUUCUAAGAAACAAUGUCGCUUUCAAAUUUAAUACGCUUUUUUAUUAGCUUCAGACGUAUGUAUGUUAUUAUGUAACGGAAUCUUUGAACAUGAUUUUGACCCCCUUCAAGACGUCGGAUUAACUCGAAAUUUGGUAUACUUAUUAUGGACCGAUGACAAUUCAAUAUUUAAAAAAAACUGAAAAAAAAUAUUGAAAUAUUGAAAUUCAAUUAAAUGAAAAAUGUGCAUGGUAUCAGUAGUUAUAAAUAUUUUAUGAACAGAUAUGAGUAGAAGGGUUAUUUUGAUAAUACCCUGAGAAGCACCCCACGCUUUUUUUUACAAAAUCAUUUUAUCUUACACUAUUUUUAAUUCAAAUUUAUUAAAAUUUAUUUUCUAUUUUUAGUUGGAUUUUCUAUAAAAGCGUAUUUUGUUAGCGUAGCGAAGCGUAGUUCUCCGGCAUUCUUUUGGCGAUGUCGAUUGCAUGUUGCACGUAAUAUUUAUUAUGGAUUUUGAUCUUAAUAUAUUAUUUUGGUUUUUAUUAAUAAAUUACAAAAAGUUUCGUACGCAGCACUUGUGUCUUUGAGCAUCUCUGAGCUGGGUACAAUGAAAAAUGAUUACACUUUUUCUAAAAGCCAAUAAUGUUAUUAUAAAAAUGGGGCAAUUCAUGCUCAUUAUUGGCAGUCUGAGCAAUACUAACAUGCUUAAUGAGAUUUCGUAGACUGAAUGUGCUUACGGGAAUCGUGUGCAGCCACUCCAAAUAUAUUAUUUAGUAAAAAUUUCUAACGUAAAAAAUACUCCUUAGGCUGUAAAAUCUUAUUUUGUUGUUAUCCAUUGGUCAGGGAACUCAACGAAAGCUGAUUGAAUUUGAAUUUGAAUUUUUAUUAAAAGUAUUUUUGUUUGCUUUAUUAUCGCAUAGAUUUUUGUUCAUUAAUAAAGUGUCCUUUUCGAAUAAAUCCCUAAUGUCGUUUACACAGACUAGACGGCUGCGAAAACGAGAUUCAAACUUUGGGAAGUAAUCGUAAUAUAGAUCGUCAUAUUUUUAGGUAAUUAAACUUGAUUUAUUGUGAUUUAUGUCAUAAAUUGAUAUUGGGAUAUUCAAAUCUUUUGAUCAACAAAUUUAAAACAUUCAAAGCGAAAAUACUUACAACCUGUAUUUUAACUUGAAUAUUUUGAUUUGAAAUUGUUACAAACGUGGGGUUGAUGCGGUAAUUUUAGGUUAUUUAUUUUUCUUUCGUAACCAAACUAAAGAUGUAUAGUAUUAUUUAUAUUUAUAGUAUUCAUGUAAAGAAAUAUACGAAAACGUACGGAGGCGAUGAAAGAAAAAAAUCAGAUCCCGCUGAAAAUAAUUCUGAUGCCAAUAAAAGUACUGCUACUUUUCUCUGCCUCUUCAUGACAUUGGUUUAAAUUAGCGUUGUUAUAUAAUGGAGACUUCACACGGUCUCGUGUCUCGAAAUCCGCGGUCCAUUUUCACGAAAAGGAACAUGCUGCAACAAUUUUUUGUCCAUUGCCUAAUAUCGAAAUACAUAAGCUUAUCGCUUAAACAUCCACGAACCAACCUAAGAGAUAAUGGUAGCUGUUGUAAGUUUGUAAUUUUCCAUACAUUCCCUAGCUCAAAUAUAAGUACUUAAGAUUUUUUUUAUCAAGCGGUAUUGUUAUUUUAAGUGCUUUUGUUUAAGAUUUAUGUUUUAUGUUUCAAUGUGUUUAAAUAUGUUAUUUUUAUUUUGUUUUGUUUAUUUAAUAGCCGACUUAACUUAAUAGGUGUAUGGCUUUAAUAAAGAAUAUAAAAAAAAAAACCGCUUGACCUUAAACCUACUCGUACAAAAAACAUGUAAUAUGUAAUAA